CAAGUGGAGACGGCACUCUAUCUGUUAGUAAUCUGCGAAGUAACAAGGUUCAAACACAAUCAGAAUUUUCUGAAGAUGAGCCGCUGUCAAUAGUGAUAAUGAAGAACGGGCGAAAAGUUAUAUGUGGGACUGAAAGUGGAACUAUGUUAUUAUACUCUUGGGGAUUUUUC
Long non-coding RNA from Helianthus annuus (common sunflower), 170 nucleotides. RefSeq lists it as uncharacterized. The transcript has 3 exons. The record is from RefSeq and is a predicted model, not a curated record. Lineage: Eukaryota; Viridiplantae; Streptophyta; Magnoliopsida; Asterales; Asteraceae.